CUCAGGGAAACAGAGUAGAAACCCCCAUUCUCCCACCACCACCCCCUUCUCUACUGAGAAUACAAAACUUAGUCAGGUGUGGUGGCAGGCACCUGUAGUCCCAGCUACUCAGGAGGCUGAGACAUGGGAAUCGCUUGAGACCGGAAGGGAGGAGGUUGCAGUGAGCUGAGAUUGAGCCACUGCACUCCAGCCUAGGUGACACAAUGAGAUUUCAUCUCAAAAAA
Molecule: long non-coding RNA, 224 nt
Organism: Sapajus apella (tufted capuchin)
Lineage: Eukaryota; Metazoa; Chordata; Mammalia; Primates; Cebidae
Exons: 2
Source: RefSeq, a predicted model, not a curated record